RNAcentral lists this ribosomal RNA (433 nucleotides) under uncultured bacterium. Its description in RNAcentral is "partial 16S ribosomal RNA". It matches the Rfam family "Bacterial small subunit ribosomal RNA", at positions 29 to 507 of the family's 1533-position model. The record is from RNAcentral.
AACGAACGCUGGCGGCAUGCCUAACACAUGCAAGUCGAACGAGACCUUCGGGUCUAGUGGCGCACGGGUGCGUAACGCGUGGGAACCUGCCCUUAGGUUCGGAAUAACUCCCCGAAAGGGGUGCUAAUACCGGAUAAUGUCUUCGGACCAAAGAUUUAUCGCCUUUGGAUGGGCCCGCGUUGGAUUAGCUAGUUGGUAGGGUAAAAGCCUACCAAGGCGACGAUCCAUAGCUGGUCUGAGAGGAUGAUCAGCCACACUGGGACUGAGACACGGCCCAGACUCCUACAGGAGGCAGCAGUGGGGAAUAUUGGACAAUGAGCGAAAGCCUGAUCCAGCAAUGCCGCGUGAGUGAUGAAGGCCUUAGGGUUGUAAAGCUCUUUUACCCGGGAUGAUAAUGACAGUACCGGGAGAAUAAGCUCCGGCUAACUCCGUG